AUUGAACGCUGGCGGCAUGCUUUACACAUGCAAGUCGAACGGCAGCGCGGGGCAACCUGGCGGCGAGUGGAGAACGGGUGAGUAAUAUAUCGGAACGUAACCAGACGUGGGGGAUGACGUAGCGACAGUUACGCUAAUACCACAUACGAUCUAAGGAUGAACGUAGGGGUCCGCAAGGCAUUAUGCUUUUGGGGCGGGCGAUAACUGAUUAGCUAGUUGGUGGGGUAAAGGCUCACCAAGGCGACGAUCAGUAGCUGGUCUGAGAGGACGACCAGCCACACGGGAACUGAGACACGGUCCAGACUCCUACGGGAGGCAGCAGUGGGGAAUGGUGGACAAUGGGCGCAAGCCUGAGCCAGCAAUGCCGCGUGAGUGAAGAAAGCCUUCGGGUUGUAAAGCUCGCUUGUCAGUGAAGAAACGCUAUAGGCUAAUAUCCAGUGCUAAUGACGGUACCUGAUAAAUAAGCACCGGCUAACUACGUG
RNAcentral lists this ribosomal RNA (482 nucleotides) under uncultured bacterium. RNAcentral describes it as "partial 16S ribosomal RNA". It matches the Rfam family "Bacterial small subunit ribosomal RNA", at positions 30 to 507 of the family's 1533-position model. The record is from RNAcentral.